AACGUAGCCUCGAUGGAGGGGGAGGGUAACUACUGGAAACGGGGGCUAAUAACGCAUAAUGUCGCAAGACCAAAGAGGGGGACCUUCGGGCCUCUUGCCAUCGGAUGUGCCCAGAUGGGAUUAGCUAGUAGGUGGGGUAACGGCUCACCUAGGCGACGAUCCCUAGCUGGUCUGAGAGGAUGACCAGCCACACUGGAACUGAGACACGGUCCAG
Molecule: ribosomal RNA, 214 nt
Filed under: uncultured bacterium
Lineage: Bacteria
Description: partial 16S ribosomal RNA
Rfam family: Bacterial small subunit ribosomal RNA
Source: RNAcentral